RNAcentral lists this RNase P RNA (379 nucleotides) under Planctomycetota bacterium. Its description in RNAcentral is "RNase P RNA component class A". It matches the Rfam family "Bacterial RNase P class A". Rfam says of the family: Ribonuclease P (RNase P) is a ubiquitous endoribonuclease, found in archaea, bacteria and eukarya as well as chloroplasts and mitochondria. RNAcentral also lists the same sequence under 1 other name. The record is from RNAcentral. Lineage: Bacteria; Pseudomonadati; Planctomycetota.
GUGAGCGAGCGUAGCGGUCGCGAGAUGGAUUCGUCCAUAGCGAGGAAAGUCCGAGCUCCAUAGGGCAGGGUGGUGGGUAACUCCCACCGGGAGCAAUCCCAGGGAAAGUGCCACAGAAAAUAUACCGCCAUUGUCAUUUGAUGAUGGUAAGGGUGAAAUGGUGAGGUAAGAGCUCACCGCAGGGGCGGUGACGUCCUUGGCAGGGUAAACCCCACCCGGAGAAAGACCAAACAGAGGUGAAGGAGUGCCCCCUCCGCUCUCGCUUGCGAGAAUAUGCCCGGGUAGGUCGUUAGAGCCCUUUGGCAACAUUGGGCCCAGAGGAAUGACCGCACACCAUUUCGGUGGUGAACAGGACUCGGCUUACUGCUCGCUCACCCUU